AGAGUUUGAUCCUGGCUCAGGACGAACGCUGGCGGCGUGCCUAACACAUGCAAGUCUGACUGGAAAGUCUCCUUCGGGAGACAAGUACAGUGGCGGACGGGUGAGUAACGCGUGGGAAUCUACCCGGUAGUGGGGGAUAACCCUCCGAAAGGAGGGCUAAUACCGCAUAAGUCUUACGAGGUAAAGAUGGCCUCUUUACAAUGCUAUCGCUUCUGGAUGAGCCCGCGUCCUAUUAGCUAGUUGGUAAGGUAACGGCUUACCAAGGCAACAAUGGGUAGCCGGUCUGAGAGGAUGAACGGCCACACUGGGACUGAGACACGGCCCAGACUCCUACGGGAGGCAGCAGUGGGGAAUUUUGCGCAAUGGGGGAAACCCUGACGCAGCAACGCCGCGUGAACGAUGAAGGCCUUCGGGUCGUAAAGUUCUGUUCUGGGGGAAGAAACAGCAAAAAGCCAAUACCUUUUUGCCUUGACGGUACCCCAGCAGAAAGCUCCGGCCAAUUAUGUGCCAGCAGCCGCGGUAAUACAUAAGGAGCAAGCGUUGUCCGGAAUUAUUGGGCGUAAAGAGCUCGUAGGCGGUACCGAAAGUCAGCUGUGAAAUCACCAGGCUCAACCUGGUAGGGUCAGCUGAAACUUCGAUACUUGAGGGUAGAAGAGGAAAGCGGAAUUCCCGGUGUAGCGGUGAAAUGCGUA
This 692-nucleotide ribosomal RNA is filed under the name uncultured bacterium. RNAcentral's name for it is "bacterial SSU rRNA". It matches the Rfam family "Bacterial small subunit ribosomal RNA", at positions 8 to 692 of the family's 1533-position model. The record is from RNAcentral.